AUUGAACGCUGGCGGCAUGCCUUACACAUGCAAGUCGAACGGCAGCGCGGGGCAACCUGGCGGCGAGUGGCGAACGGGUGAGUAAUAUAUCGGAACAUACCCUGGAGUGGGGGAUAACGUAGCGAAAGUUACGCUAAUACCGCAUACGAUCUAAGGAUGAAAGUGGGGGACCGCAAGGCCUCAUGCUCGUGGAGUGGCCGAUAUCUGAUUAGCUAGUUGGUGGGGUAAAAGCCUACCAAGGCGACGAUCA
This 250-nucleotide ribosomal RNA is filed under the name uncultured bacterium. RNAcentral describes it as "partial 16S ribosomal RNA". It matches the Rfam family "Bacterial small subunit ribosomal RNA", at positions 30 to 282 of the family's 1533-position model. The record is from RNAcentral.